CCUACGGGUGGCAGCAGUGAGGAAUAUUUGUCAAUGAGCGGGAGCCUGAACCAGCCAAGUCGCGUGAGGGAUGACGGUCCUAUGGAUUGUAAACCUCUUUAGGCGGGGAGCAAUGCCGGGCACGCGUGCCCGGAGGGAGAGUACCCGCAGAAUAAGCAUCGGCUAACUCCGUGCCAGCAGCCGCGGUAAUACGGGGGAUGCAAGCGUUAUCCGGAUUUAUUGGGUUUAAAGGGUGCGUAGACUGUGAGGUUAGUCAGCGGUGAAAUGCCCCCGGUCAACGGGGUGAAGUGCCAUUGAUACUGGCUUGAUAGAAUGCGAAUGCCGUGGGAGGAAUGUGUGGUGUAGCGGUGAAAUGCAUAGAUAUCACACAGAACACCGAUUGCGAAGGCAUCUCACGAAUCCGAGAUUGACGCUGAUGCACGAAAGCGUGGGUAUCAAACAGGAUUAGAUACCCUUGUAGUC
This 462-nucleotide ribosomal RNA is filed under the name uncultured bacterium. RNAcentral describes it as "partial 16S ribosomal RNA". It matches the Rfam family "Bacterial small subunit ribosomal RNA", at positions 338 to 795 of the family's 1533-position model. The record is from RNAcentral.